UAACAUGCAAGUCGAGCGGUAACAGACAUAAAGAUUCAGCUUGCUGAAUCCGGUGCUGACGAGCGGCGAACGGGUGAGUAACGCGUAGGAAUCUACCCAGUAGCGGGGGAUAGCCCGAGGAAACUCGGAUUAAUACCGCAUACGCCCUGAGGGGGAAAGGGGGCAGUUUACUGCUCUCACUACUGGAUGAGCCUGCGUAAGAUUAGUUUGUUGGUGGGGUAAUGGCCUACCAAGGCAACGAUCUUUAGCUGGUCUGAGAGGACGAUCAGUCACAUUGGGACUGAGACACGGCCCAGACAUCUACGGAUGGCAGCAGUUAAGAAUAUUGGACAAUGGGGGCAACCCUGAUCCAGGUAUACCGCGUGUGUGAAGAAGGCCCUAGGGUUGUAAAGCACUUUAAUCAGAGAAGAAGCAUUUUAAGUUAAUACCUUAAUAUGUUGACGUUACCUGAAGAAUAAGGACCGGCUAACUCCGUGCCAGCAGCCGCGGUAAUACGGAGGGUCCAAGCGUUAAUCGGAAUUACUGGGCGUAAAGCGCGCGUAGGCGGUUUAGCAAGUUGUAUGUGAAAGCCCUGGGCUCAACCUAGGAACUGCAUUCAAAACUACUAAGCUAGAGUACGAGAGAGGAGAGUAGAAUUUCUGGUGUAGCGGUGAAAUGCGUAGAUAUCAGAAGGAAUACCAAUGGCGAAGGCAGCUCUCUGGCUCGUCACUGACGCUGAGGUGCGAAAGCGUGGGUAGCAAACAGGAUUAGAUACCCUGGUAGUCCACGCCGUAAACGAUGAGAACUAGCCGUUGGGCAGAUUUAACUGUUCAGUGGCACAGCUAACGCAUUAAGUUCUCCGCCUGGGGAGUACGGCCGCAAGGCUAAAACUCAAAUGAAUUGACGGGGGCCCGCACAAGUGGUGGAGCAUGUGUUUACUUCGAUGCACGCGAGAUCUUACUACCCUUGAAAUCUAGCGAGUUCACAGAGAUGAGAUGUGCUUCGGGACGCUAUGACAGGUGUUGCAUGACUGUCGUCAGCUCGUGUCGUGAGAUGUAUGGUAGUCCAGUACGAGGCGCAACCCCUAUCUUUAUUGGCCAGCGGCGUUAAGGCGGAACUAUAGGGAACUGGCGGGGUGAAACCGGAGGAAAGAGGGGACCAAGGUCAAGCUCUUCUUUGGGCCCUUAUAUGUGUUGGGGGUAACACACAGCGA
Molecule: ribosomal RNA, 1192 nt
Filed under: uncultured Gammaproteobacteria bacterium
Lineage: Bacteria; Pseudomonadati; Pseudomonadota; Gammaproteobacteria
Description: bacterial SSU rRNA
Rfam family: Bacterial small subunit ribosomal RNA
Source: RNAcentral